UUUGUCAUGAGGGUCUGGAUGGGGGGGGGUCUGUUAUUCUGUAAACAUUUAAUUUUCACCCCUAUUUUCUCUAAUCUUCAAAAAAUAAACCCCUAUUUUCUCUAAUCUUCAAAAAAUUAACCCCUUUUUUCUCUAAUCUUCUAUUUUUUUGCCCAUUAUUCUCUAAUCUUAAUUUUUUAAGGGCAUUAUUCUUUAAUCAUUUAACGCCAUCCAAACCCUCU
RNAcentral lists this long non-coding RNA (221 nucleotides) under Mytilus galloprovincialis (Mediterranean mussel). Lineage: Eukaryota; Metazoa; Mollusca; Bivalvia; Mytilida; Mytilidae. The record is from RNAcentral.